This 446-nucleotide ribosomal RNA is filed under the name uncultured bacterium. RNAcentral's name for it is "partial 16S ribosomal RNA". It matches the Rfam family "Bacterial small subunit ribosomal RNA", at positions 338 to 795 of the family's 1533-position model. The record is from RNAcentral.
CCUACGGGUGGCAGCAGUCGAGAAUCAUUCACAAUGGGGGAAACCCUGAUGGUGCGACGCCGCGUGGGGGAAUGAAGGUCUUCGGAUUGUAAACCCCUGUCAUGUGGGAGCAAAUUAAAAAGAUAGUACCACAAGAGGAAGAGACGGCUAACUCUGUGCCAGCAGCCGCGGUAAUACAGAGGUCUCAAGCGUUGUUCGGAAGCACUGGGCGUAAAGCGUGCGUAGGCUGUUUAGUAAGUCGUGUGUGAAAGGCGCGGGCUCAACCCGCGGACGGCACAUGAUACUGCGGGGCUAGAGUAGUGGAGGGGGGACCGGAAUUCUCGGUGUAGCAGUGAAAUGCGUAGAUAUCGAGAGGAACACUCGUGGCGAAGGCGGGUUCCUGGACAUUAACUGACGCUGAGGCACGAAGGCCAGGGGAGCGAAAGGGAUUAGAUACCCUUGUAGUC